This 464-nucleotide ribosomal RNA is filed under the name uncultured bacterium. Its description in RNAcentral is "bacterial SSU rRNA". It matches the Rfam family "Bacterial small subunit ribosomal RNA", at positions 331 to 792 of the family's 1533-position model. The record is from RNAcentral.
CCAGACUCCUACGGGAGGCAGCAGUGAGGAAUAUUGGUCAAUGGGCGGAAGCCUGAACCAGCCAAGUCGCGUGAGGGAAGAAGGCCCUGCGGGUCGCAGACCUCUUUGGACGGGGAGCAAGGCCGCCGACGUGUCGGCGGAAGGAGAGUACCCGUAGAACAAGCAUCGGCUAACUCCGUGCCAGCAGCCGCGGUAAUACGGAGGAUGCGAGCGUUAUCCGGAUUUAUUGGGUUUAAAGGGUGCGCAGGCGGCACGGCAAGCCGGCGGUCAAAUCGCGGGGCUCAACCCCGCCCAGCCGUCGGAACUGCCGGGCUAGAGUGGGCGAGAAGUGCGCGGAAUGCGUGGUGUAGCGGUGAAAUGCAUAGAUAUCACGCAGAACUCCGAUUGCGAAGGCAGCGCACCGGCGCCCUACUGACGCUCAGGCACGAAAGCGUGGGUAUCGAACAGGAUUAGAUACCCCAGUA